CAGAGGAGGGCAUUGUGACAAAACACAACCUGUUGGUGCUCUUGCAUCCCUGGGAACACACCUGCCCUGUUGCUGCCACUGCUAAAUGUUCCAGACAGUACCCAUAAGCCCGAUCUCUGUCACUUUCCAGGAUCCUGCAACUAGGAGCAGACUGUACAGCACCUUCUAUGUGGGCUAUGUGAGAAAGGGUGCUUCAUGCUUGGUCUACAGGUGGUGGGGACAAAAGACUGCAGUUAUCACUGACUCUAGAGAUGGUCAUGUCCCACUCCUACUAGGGGUCCCUGAAUAGGCUUCACAGGUGGUAGUUCCAAUCACCUCAGAGGAGGGCGUUGCAAUCAAACACAUGCUGUUGUUGCUUUCACUCCCAUGGGAGCUCACACAUCCUCCUACUGCUACUGCCAAAUGCUCUGGUCACAUUUCUGAUCCUCCUAGAGCUCAUUACCACUUCCCAGGGCCCUGAAGCUAGGGGUAGCCUGUGCCACCUUCCUGCAGUCCUUGCUUCUGUCAAGAGCCCAAUGAACAGGCACUUACUGCUGGCCCUAUCCAUUGCCUCCUUUUCCCUGGAAACACACUGAACAUCCUGGCAGUAAUAGUCUGCACACGAUGAAGAAAAAGAUAGCAAAUUUUCAAUCUCCCACACCAAAAAAUAAAUAGUAACCUCCCCCAGGAAAUACAAAAGGGUAUUCUUGCAUAGAAGUAGCCUUACAAGACUACAGUGUGGCUUUCCCAAACUCACAGAAAAAGAAAAAACACGAGCAAGAUGAAUAAGCUCAGGAACAUUCCUAAUUAAAAGAACAGGAGAAUUCACCUAAAGCAGUUGACAAUGACACAGACCUCUGCAGUCUGAACAGACAUUGAGUUCACAAGGGAAAUGGUGAAGAUACUGAAGUAAUUAAGAGAGGAUAUGAACAGUAAUGCAGAUUCUUUUAGAAAGGUACUAGAAAAUAUAAGGAGGAGCCAAAUAAAACUAAAAAAUUCAUUUUCAGAGAUACGAUCUGAGCCAAAGGCAAUAAAGACAGAAUGAAUAAGGCAGAGGAACAAAUUAUGACAUGGAAGAUAGAAUAAUGGAAACCACCCAAUCAGCACCACAGACAGAAAUCCAAAUUUAAAAAAAAUGAAAGCAAUCUAAGAGACCUAUGGGAUAAUAUAAAGUGGGCCAAUCUAAGUGUAAUAGGAAUUCCAGAAGUAGAAGAAAAAAAAAAGGGGGGAUUGAAAAUAUAUUUGAAGAAAUUAUGGCUGGGAACUUUCCACAUCUAAAGGAUACUGUCAAGAUACAGGAUGCACAGAGGGCCCCAAACAUGUUGAACCCAAACAGACCCAUACCAAGACAUACUAUAAUAAAAAUGGCAAAAGUUAAAGAAAAAGAGAAAAAGAAAUCAUUUAUUAUAAGGGAACCCAUAUAAGGCUAUCAGCUGAUUUCUUCACAGAAGCACUACAGGCCAGAAGGGAGUGGCAAGAUAGAUUUAAAGUGCUGAAAGGAAAAAAUGUGUAGCCUAUAAUAUUCUAUCCAGCAAGAAUAUCAUUUGAAAUAGAAAGGGAAGAGUUCCCAUCAUGGCACAGUGGUUAACAAAUCUGAAGAGGAACCAUGAGGUUGCAGGUUUGAUCCCUGGCCUUACUCAGUGGGUUAAGGAUCUGGCUUUGCCGUGAGCUGUGGUGUAGGUUGCAGAUGUGGCUCGGAUCCUGUGUUGCUGUGGCUCUGGUGUAGGCCAGCGGCUANNNNNNNNNNNNNNNNNNNNNNNNNNNNNNNNNNNNNNNNNNNNNNNNNNNNNNNNNNNNNNNNNNNNNNNNNNNNNNNNNNNNNNNNNNNNNNNNNNNNNNNNNNNNNNNNNNNAAAAGUAAAAUAGAAGGGGAAAUAAAUAAUUUUUCCAACAAACAAAAGCUAAAAGAGUACAACAAUACAAAACCCAUCCUAACAGAAAUAAUGAAAGGGUUAAAAAAAUUAAAAAAAGAAAAAAAAAGAAAAGAUGAAGAAUUAGGAUGGAGUAAACCACAACUGGAAAGCAGUAACUUAAAUAAGCCAGCAUACAGAUCUAAAUAUAAAGAUGUUGUGGGGGGGGAAGACAACAAAAUCAUACAAUGUAGGCAAGGAAAGUAUGAAAAUGUAGCUUCUUUGUUUUUAUUUUCAGGAUGUGUUUGAACCUAUAUGAUUAUCAGGCUAAAGCAAGCAGGUACAGGAAGUGGUUAACAUACUUAAAAAACAGGAAAACCGCAAAUCAAAACCAAACAUUACAUUCACAAAAACUGAAUAGUACUCAAGCAUAAAAAAAGUGGAAACCAUCUUACAAAAUAAAGAAGAGGGAAACAUAGAAUCACCCAGAAAACAAGGUUUAAAAUGUCAAUAAACCCAUAUCUUUCAAUAACCACCUUAAAUGUCAAUGGACUGAAUGCUCCAAUCAAAGACACACAGUUGCAGAUUGGAUAAAAAUGCAAAAACCUUCAAUCUACUGUCUAUAAGAAACUCAAAUUAGAGCAAAGGACACAUAGAGAUUCAAAGUGAGGGGAUGGAAAAAGAUUUUUCAUGCCAAUGGACCAGACAGGAAAGCAAGAGUUGCAAUACUCCUAUCAGACAAAAUAGACUUUAAAACAAAGGCCCUAAAGAAAGACAAAGAAGGACACUAUUUAAUGGUUAAAAGAUCCAUUCAAGAGGAGGAUAUUACAAUCAUCAAUAUAUAUGCCCCUGAUAUUGGAUCCCCCACACACCUUCCAUAAAUACUAACAGACAUGAAAGGAGAAAGUGAUGGGAUUACACUCAUAGUAGGAGACUUUACCACCCCACUGACAUCAAUGGACAGAUCCUCUAGACAAGAAAUCAGUAAGUCAACAGAGAUCCUAAAGGACAUAAUAGAAAGUUAGACUUAAUUGACAUUUCCAGGACAUUAUAUCUAAAAAAGUCAGAAUAUGCAUUCCUCACAAGUACACCUGGGAACAUCCUUAAGAAUUGAUCCAUAUACUGGGGCACAAAUUUAAGAGUAUAGAAUUUAUUUGAAGCAUCUUCUCUGACCACAAUGGCAUGAAACUAGAAAUCAACCACAGGGAAAGAAAUGAGAAAACACUAACUACAUAGACACUAAACAACAUGCUAUUAAAAAACCAAUGGGGCAAUGAGGAAAUCAAGAAGGAAAUUAAAAAAUACAUCAAGACAAAUGACAAUGAACACACAACCACUUAAAAUCUAUGGGAAGCUACAAAAGGAGUGCUCAGGAGGUAGGUCAUAGCAAUACAGGCCUUCCUCAAAAAAAAAAAAAAAAGAAAAGAAAAA
RNAcentral lists this long non-coding RNA (3259 nucleotides) under Sus scrofa (pig). RNAcentral's name for it is "lncRNA (ENSSSCG00050059411.1)". The record is from RNAcentral. Lineage: Eukaryota; Metazoa; Chordata; Mammalia; Artiodactyla; Suidae.